CAAAGGCUUGGCCCUGACUUUACUAUCAGCUCCCGCCCAAUUUAUACAUGCAAGUAUCCGCACCCCCGUGAGAAUGCCCUCAAUUCUCUGCCCGAGAACAAGGAGCAGGCAUCAGGCACCUAAUACGAAGCCAAAGACGCCUUGCUAUGCCACACCCUCAAGGGAUUUCAGCAGUAAUAAAUAUUAAGCCAUGAGUGUAAACUCGACUUAGUUAAGGCCUCAAGGGUCGGUAAAAUUCGUGCCAGCCACCGCGGUUAUACGAAAGACCCAAGUUGAUUAAUUACGGCGUAAAGGGUGGUUAAGGGUAAAUGAAAAUAAGGCUAAAGACUCUCCAGGCUGUCAUACGCUCUCCGAGAUAACGAGACCCUCACACGAAAGUAUCCUUAAAAUUUAAACCCUGACGCCACGAAAGCCAAGAAACAAACUGGGAUUAGAUACCCCACUAUGCUUGGCUGUAAACCCAGAUAUGUUCUCACACGCACAUCCGCCCGGGUACUACGAGCACAGCUUAAAACCCAAAGGACUUGGCGGUGUCUCAGACCCACCUAGAGGAGCCUGUUCUAGAACCGAUAACCCCCGUUAAACCUCACCACUUCUUGUUUUCCCCGCCUAUAUACCGCCGUCGUCAGCUUACCCUGUGAAGGCCAAACAGUAAGCAAAAUGGGCACGCCCAAAAACGUCAGGUCGAGGUGUAGCGUACGAAGUGGAAAGAAAUGGGCUACAUUUUCUACAUAAAGAAUAUUACGAAUGGUAUAAUGAAACAUAUACCUGAAGGUGGAUUUAGUAGUAAAAAACAAACAGAGCGUGCUUUUGAAUUAGGCUCUGAGACGCGCACACACCGCCCGUCACUCUCCCCUCAUGCACAUAACCCAAGUAUUCCUAAUAAUACACCCAUCAACACGGGGAGGCAAGUCGUAACAUGGUAAGUGUACCGGAAGGUGCACUUGGACUAA
This 953-nucleotide non-coding RNA is filed under the name Liosomadoras morrowi. RNAcentral's name for it is "partial 12S ribosomal RNA". It matches the Rfam family "Bacterial small subunit ribosomal RNA". Lineage: Eukaryota; Metazoa; Chordata; Actinopteri; Siluriformes; Auchenipteridae. The record is from RNAcentral.